This 372-nucleotide ribosomal RNA is filed under the name uncultured organism. Its description in RNAcentral is "bacterial SSU rRNA". It matches the Rfam family "Bacterial small subunit ribosomal RNA", at positions 526 to 896 of the family's 1533-position model. The record is from RNAcentral.
CAGAGGUGGCAAGCGUUGUUCGGAAUUACUGGGCGUAAAGGGCGCGUAGGCGGCCUUCUAAGUCGGACGUGAAAUCCCCAGGCUUAACUUGGGAACUGCGUCUGAUACUGGAAGGCUUGAGUGCGGGAGAGGGAUGUGGAAUUCCAGGUGUAGCGGUGAAAUGCGUAGAUAUCUGGAGGAACACCGGUGGCGAAGGCGGCAUCCUGGACCGACACUGACGCUGAGGCGCGAAAGCCAGGGGAGCAAACGGGAUUAGAUACCCCGGUAGUCCUGGCCCUAAACGAUGAGUGCUUGGUGUGGCGGGUAUCGAUCCCUGCCGUGCCGAAGCUAACGCAUUAAGCACUCCGCCUGGGGAGUACGGUCGCAAGGCUG